RNAcentral lists this ribosomal RNA (499 nucleotides) under uncultured bacterium. RNAcentral's name for it is "partial 16S ribosomal RNA". It matches the Rfam family "Bacterial small subunit ribosomal RNA", at positions 30 to 522 of the family's 1533-position model. The record is from RNAcentral.
AUUGAACGCUGGCGGCAUGCCUUACACAUGCAAGUCGAACGGCAGCACGGACUUCGGUCUGGUGGCGAGUGGCGAACGGGUGAGUAAUGCAUCGGAACGUACCAUUGAGUGGGGGAUAACGUAGCGAAAGUUACGCUAAUACCGCAUAUUCUCUCCGGAGGAAAGCAGGGGAUCGUAAGACCUCUUGCUCUUUGAGCGGCCGAUGUCGGAUUAGCUAGUUGGUGAGGUAAAGGCUCACCAAGGCUACGAUCCGUAGCGGGUCUGAGAGGAUGAUCCGCCACACUGGGACUGAGACACGGCCCAGACUCCUACGGGAGGCAGUAGUGGGGAAUUUUGGACAAUGGGGGCAACCCUGAUCCAGCCAUGCCGCGUGAGUGAAGAAGGCCUUCGGGUUGUAAAGCUCUUUCAGCCGGGAAGAAAACGCAUGGGUUAAUACCCUGUGUGGAUGACGGUACCGGAAUAAGAAGCACCGGCUAACUACGUGCCAGCCGCCGCGUAA